This 451-nucleotide ribosomal RNA is filed under the name uncultured bacterium. Its description in RNAcentral is "bacterial SSU rRNA". It matches the Rfam family "Bacterial small subunit ribosomal RNA", at positions 354 to 796 of the family's 1533-position model. The record is from RNAcentral.
GUGAGGAAUAUUGCGCAAUGGGCGAAAGCCUGACGCAGCGACGCCGCGUGGAGGAUGAAGGCCUUCGGGUCGUAAACUCCUGUCGAGGGGGACGAAAUGGCUCCUUGCUAAUAUCAAGGAGCCUUGACUGUACCCCUGGAGGAAGCCCCGGCUAACUCCGUGCCAGCAGCCGCGGUAAUACGGAGGGGGCCAGCGUUGCUCGGAAUCACUGGGCGUAAAGGGCUCGUAGGCGGUCUGAUAAGUCCUGUGUGAAAUCCCUUGGCUUAACCAAGGAAUUGCGCCGGAUACUGUCGGACUAGAGGCCGGGAGAGGGAAGCGGAAUUCCGAGUGUAGCGGUGAAAUGCGUAGAUAUUCGGAGGAACACCGGUGGCGAAGGCGGCUUCCUGGACCGGUUCUGACGCUGAGGAGCGAAAGCUAGGGUAGCAAACAGGAUUAGAAACCCCUGUAGUCC